This is a long non-coding RNA of Homo sapiens (human), 5996 nucleotides long. RefSeq lists it as uncharacterized. The transcript is spliced from 3 exons. The record is from RefSeq and is a predicted model, not a curated record. NCBI's taxonomy places the organism in Eukaryota, Metazoa, Chordata, Mammalia, Primates, Hominidae.
AGCCAGAGGCCAAGAUGUAUGUGGCAUGUAUGAAAAAUACCAGAGACUUUAUUAUGACUGAGAGAAUGUGUGAGAAGGACAGUACUGAAGCUGCAGUGAUAGGCUAGAGACAAAUCUUGCAAAGAUAUUAAUGACAAUUUAAAACAUGGAUCCAUGUUAGAUUUAAAAUACAUAAUGAUAGGUUUACAAAAGUAACUGGGAUAUAGGAGUGUCAUUUCAUUUAUAACUGAUUGACACAUCUCACCAAAGCAUUGGUUAAAAAAGGGACACUGGAAAUUGUAAGUGCAUAAACCACGUUUUUAAAAAGUAAUGAUGUUGACACCACAGUAAACCACUUUAAAUCAUUAUAUUAUUUAUACAGUAUUUUUAAUUUGAUGAAAGACUUCUCUAGGUGGGAUUCUAUAGCUGAGGAUUAUUGCUACACCCUUGAUUCCCUUUUGAUGGGAAAAAGGAAUUAUCAACACCCUUCUUUUCUGUCAGCCCAGUUGUCUGAAGCUCCCUAUUCUGUACCCCGUUUAUGUUCAUUGUUCUUGAGAGAUUUCUUGUUCAUUUCUUGUUCACUUUCUCAUUGAACUGUCCAUUUAAUGUUUUUACAUUCAGUGCCCUUGAGAUUGGUUUAAAUAACAUUUUCAUUUAUCUAAAUUAAGAUUUGAGAGAACUAAAAUGCCUUAGUAUGUGGCAUUAAUUCAGGUAAACUGACAUUGCCACUUACGCUUUGGAUAAAUUUCAUCUUGUAAUUCUGGCUAUUUUAGGGAACAUUUGUUUCUAGUAUCCAUGGUGAAAAUUCAGAAAUCUGCUUCCUGGUGAAGUCUGGUCUUUGGUUAUGGCUAAAUUGAAAGAUCAGUACAGAUUAGUCCAAUUUGACUGAGAAAGCAUAUUAUAUUAGUAUACAGUUCAUAUAAUUGUUUUUCUGUAACCACAAUGUCUCACUUAUUAUUGAUGCUUAUUAUAUUGAUAAAAAUGUGAAAUAUUGACAUCGAUCUUCCUCUCUGAUUACUAAAUCUUGUCAAUUAUAAUCAAUGCUUAACUAAAAUCUCUUCUGGCCUGAGAAAUUAAAUUCCAUCAAAAUAUUUUAGAAUCAGAAUCUCCCUAAAACAUACAUUCUAUUAAUUUCAUGACUUUGAUACACUGAAGCUUCAAUGAAACUUGAACGCAAGCAAGUAAUCUUCGUGAUUUUUUUUUCUCUGAGUCAACUUGGCUAAGUGGGAAGUUCAUUCUCUCAGAUUCUUUUUCUGGAUGCUUCUAACUCAGGGUUGACGAAAAUAAGUAUUUGCCUGAGGCGUAGGAGGAAGAAGUGAAGCGAGAGUUCCUCCUUCUUGAAGGUCGUAACAGUCAAAACAUUGAAAGAUGAACCUAGAGGUACUGGUGGGUUCGGCAUGUCCUCACCGCUCAUUUAUGUCUAGUUCUUUCUGACUUCUGGCGCUACUAACCAACUGCAACGCUGGGCUGACCAUGAGACGCAGAGCUGACAGCUUUCCAUAGAGUUUCCUGACAGCUCCACAUUGUGGUCACACACCAACAGAUAGACAUGCCUGGCUUCCCAGAUUCCCCUUGCCAGGGCUUCAGACUGGCAGCUUAGCAACCUGGCUCGAAUCUUCCAGCUCCUCCAUUCUAAACCUUAAUCUUCGUCUCUUCUCACAGUUGAGUAACAGCCAACUCUGAUAGUAAAGUCCUCAUUCCAUAAUACUCGUAGUGGUUCUUCUUUCCUGACUGAGCUUUGACUGCCACAGUCCUUGCAGACAGAGUCUUGUUCUGUUACCCAGGCUGAAGUGCAGUGGUAUGAUCUCAGCUCACUGCAACCUUGAACUCCUGAACAGCAAUCCUCUUUCCUCAGCCUCACAAGUAACUAGGACUACAGGUGUGCAUCAUCACACCCAGCUGAUUUUUAAAUCGUUUGUAGAGACAGGGUCUUGCUACGUUGUCCAGCCUAGUCUGGCCUCCAGCAAUUCUCCUGCCUUUGACUCCCAAAGUGCUGGGACUAUAAGCAUACACCACCACACCCAGUCAAGGUAAUAAGUAUUUAAUAAAUGUAUGAAUGCGUGAUAGAAUGAGUAAGUAAAUGAAUGAGUUGACUGUGACUUCCUGGCUAAGUAGUUGGCAGAUUCAAAGCUGGAAGAUGGGUUUCCUGAUCCCAGGACCCUUUAUUUCCACUGUCCCCAAAUUGUUGUAAUUCACAAAAUUCUCUUCUUUUACCUCUGUGGGACCUAGGCCUUAAUUUUUGAGGUGUUUGCCUACAGUUAGAGGUGAGAUCUCUGGCUAAGAAUCAUGCUACAACACAAAACUUACCAUUCACUUUAGCCGGCAAGCACAGCUUUUUGAUCUCAUAUGUUUACCAUCUGAUCUUUGUAGUACACACAGACUCUUCACAUAUGUAUUUUCAUUUUGUAAUAUGGCAAUAUGCAUUUAUCUGCUUCUUAUUCAUACAUUUGACAAGAUAGAUACUUCCAUUUUAAAUUUAUUUUGGCAAAGUGUAAUAUUAUUCCAGCAUUUUAUAAAUGAUAAAGAACAAGGUUAAAGAAGGAUUGGAUUCAUCAUGUAAAGGUUAAAUAAUUCUAAUUUUAAGGAAUGAAUAUCAAUUGCUCUUUUAAGAUGUGUUUGAAGAAUUCUUGUCAUUGAGGGAAGCAUUUUUCAAGUCUGUUGAAAUCCGUUCAAGUGUAAGGAGAGGGCUGAAGAAUGCAUGGUAAACAGAUGACUUUUGCAUAUUAAGGUAUUUUGAAUUGUACUCUUCUUGCCAUAGGAAUAAUGGGUAUCUUUAAAAUCGGGUAUUCUUGCAAAAUUGUAGCAUAGCUUUGUGGUAGCUUUAAACACUCAGAAAAAGGAUUCUUGAAAAACGAAUGAAAUUCUGGCAAAAACAAACAAACAACAAAAAAACAAAACCACCUAAAUACUAAGUAGUUUAGAUUAUUUGAAUGAAAUAUUUUCCCAUGCUGUCAAAUUUACAUCCAAUUUUCUAUGUUUUAUUCAAAGAGAGUUCUGUCAUACAAAGAUUAGAGGUUCACCAAAAACGGCUACUACAUCUUAUUGUUUUCUAAACCUGACUUCUUCAUAUAUAGAUAGCAGGCGUAAAACUGUACGCAGAAUGGCUGCAGUGUGGAGAAGAUGAGGAUCUCCAGGAAGAAAAAAAGAGGUUGCUCUCACUAGAACAUGCCUUUUAAUUGCCAAGGAAUUAAUAAUGCACCUUUUUUAAGCUUCAGUUGCGCUCAACUCAAAAAUCUACUCUACAGGAUAAUUGGCCUUUCCUUGCCUAUCUCUUUGCUUCUUGCAAGGAGUAAUAAAAUUAAACAUACUCUCAAUGAGUAGGAAGUUUCUAAGAUGCUUAGCCUUGAUAUGUAAUUUUCAAAUAUGUGCUUUUUUAGAGAUUUUUCUAUUUUUAGCUUAAUCUCUUUCUGCUGCUGCUUCCAUUGAGUCUUUUCAUCAGACAACUCCCUUCUUCCCUUUCGGAAUAUAAGUUCCUUUAAGGUUAGAGGUAAUAUUCUGUUCACUUCAUCCUCUUAUUUCCAAACAUGAUUCCUGGCAUACAAAGGGUGCUUAGUGAAUUUUCUGAAUGAGCCACAGUAUGCAAAUUAUAAUGAAAUUCAUACCCCUAAUGUUGUACACACCUAAAUUUGAUUUACAGCAUAAUUUACUGUGGUAGUCUGUGUACAGACAGGUUUUGCUGUUCAUUAAAAUAAGAUCACAACCUCCUUCCUAUACUCUCAAUAUAAUAAUUUUAAAACUGUACUAAAUGUUAGAGUACUUAAGAUUAUUGAUGUAUUCAGAGACAGAGUAGUACAUGAUUCAGUACCAACAGGGCAUCAUCACAAAUUUAGAAUUGUGCUCACAUUUAUGGAAAGAUGGUUUGCAUUCAACUGAGAAUAAGUAUUAAUUUAUUUGAUAAAUAUUUAUGGAGCACCUGCUAUUAGUAAUUUUUCUAAGCAUGUGGGAUACAAAACUUUCUCUAUGAAGUUUAUCAUUCAGGGAAGAGAAACAAACAGUAAAUAAUUAAAAUGACAAAUAGGUCAACUGUGAAGUAUGCUAUAAAGUGCUACGUGGGAAAUACAGAGAUGGGGCAGUAGGAUGUGGUAUGUGAGUUGAGGAAUAUUUUGUAGGCAGUUUGUAGUUUUAAAUAAGGGGAGUUAGUGUAGGUAUCAUUGGUAGGACGAUAUAUGAGCUAAGACUUGAAGGAGAGGUGAGAUCUAGCUAAGAGGACAUCUAGAGGAAGAGUCUUCCUUGCAGAAAAAAAACAGUAUGUCUGGAAAAAAAUAUAGAACUGCAAGAAGCCAAUUAUGGCUGAUGAUGGGUCAGAUGGAAAGGGAAGAAUGUUAGUAGAAAAAUACAUCAGAUUGGAAGCACAGUAUCCAAUGAAUAUUGAAGGAAUUUGUAAAAGUUUAGUUCUAUUAUAAGUAAAGUGGCUCAGCACUACAGGAUUUUAAACAGAGGAGUGACAAAGCGGACAUAUUUUCAAAGGAUCAUUCUGGUUGAUAUGUUAAAGAGAGGGCAGAGCUAGGAACAUGGACACCUACUAAAAUCUGUUUUACAUUAAAGUGGGAAAUGAUGAUGACUUUAGCCAGCAUGGUAGUAAUUGAGAUGGAAAGUAGUUGGAUUCUGGAUGAAUUUGAACGUAAAUUCAACAGACUUUGCUGAUGUAUUAGAAAUAGCUGUAUAAUAGAGCGAGAGAGAGAAGUCAGGGAUAAAUAUUUUCCACCUGAAAAUUAUCAAGCAUUGUCUGUGGGUCAUAGUAGCUAUUGAUAAAAUGUAGCUUGAAUAACAUAAGUAAUACAUAACUGUGAUUUAAUGUAUGUUUUAUUUGGAAAGGCAUAGAUGCUGAUAUUCCAAACUCAAGAGAAGCAGACUUAAUUAGCCAUAAUAUGAAGUAAAGAGCUGAGCCAAAAGUAGGUCCUAGAUAAAUACAGGCACACCUUAUUUUAUUGUGCUUCACUCUUCUGCACCUCACAGAUACUGCAUUUUUACAAAUUGAAGGUUUGUAGCAAUCUUGCUUUGGGCAAGCCUAUGGGCACUAUUUUUCCACCAACGUAUGGUCACUUCAUGUCUCUGGGUCAGGUUUCAAUAAUUCUCCCAAAUUUUCAAACUUUCUCAUUAUUAUUUUAUCUGUUAUGGUUAUCGGUGACCAAUGAUCUUUGAUGUUACUGUUGUAAUUGUUUUGGGGAGCCACAAAUCACACCCAUACACUACUGUAAACAAAGUAGCCAAAAAUAAGUGGCUACCUCCUUUUUUUUCUAUUCUUUUAUACAUACGUAUUUGCCCUUUCUCCCUUGUCACUUGACACUCUUCUUUUCCGUGACUAACUAUAUACUUGCUUAAGAUUUCCAGGAACUAAUAUUGAAACCAUUCAGCUAUGAAGGCGAGAUUUCAGGAUACUUUUUUUCCAGAGAAGGGAUCAGCAAGCAGUUAAUCCACAACCCAGUCAUGGUGAAGCUGACACCAGCCAGGCUUCUAGAUGGUCCUUUACUCAUGAUAGCCAUUGGAAUAAGACGUGUAGACCUGUGCCUUGCACCACUCCUGCAUUUUAGUUUCCAUGGUUCCUUUCUCCUUGAAAUCCCUUUGGUCAGCCUGAAAAUUUUGAGAUGUUUUUGUGACACCAUCUCCUCAGGUUGUGUCCACCAUCUCCUCAGGCUGUCAGCUUUUGAAUAAACCUGUAUUUUCUUCCACCAACUCUUGUACAUGUCUCUCACUUUAAAUCGAAAGCCACACAUAACUAAGCUUAGUGAGGAAGGCAUGUCAAAAGCUGAGAGAGGCCAAAAGCUAGGCAUUUUCUGCCAAACAGUUAGCUAAGUUGUGAAUGUAAAGAAAAAGUUUUUGAAGGAAAUUAAAAGUGCUAGUCCAGUGAACACACAAAUAAUAAGAAAGCGAAACUAUGGUUGGUAUGGAGAAGGUUAUAGUAGCUUUGAUAAAUGAUGAAAACAGUUAUAACAUGUACUUAAGCUAAAGUCUAAUCCAGAGCAAGGCAGGCCUUAACUCUCUUCAAUUCCAUGAAGGCUGAGAGGGUUGAGGAAGCU